RNAcentral lists this ribosomal RNA (506 nucleotides) under uncultured bacterium. Its description in RNAcentral is "partial 16S ribosomal RNA". It matches the Rfam family "Bacterial small subunit ribosomal RNA", at positions 29 to 523 of the family's 1533-position model. The record is from RNAcentral.
AGUGAACGCUGGCGGCAGGCCUAACACAUGCAAGCCGAACGGCAGCACAGGGGAGCUUGCUCCCUGGGUGGCGAGUGGCGGACGGGUGAGGAAUACAUCGGAAUCUACCCUUUCGUGGGGGAUAACGUAGGGAAACUUACGCUAAUACCGCAUACGAUCUGAGGAUGAAAGCAGGGGACCGCAAGGCCUUGCGCGAUUGGAUGAGCCGAUGUCCGAUUAGCUAGUUGGCGGGGUAAAGGCCCACCAAGGCGACGAUCGGUAGCUGGUCUGAGAGGAUGAUCAGCCACACUGGAACUGGGACACGGUCCAGACUCCUACGGGAGGCAGCAGUGGGGAAUAUUGGACAAUGGGCGCAAGCCUGAUCCAGCCAUGCCGCGUGUGUGAAGAAGGCCUUCGGGUUGUAAAGCACUUUUGUUGGGAAAGAAAACCUGUCGGCUAAUACCCGGCGGGGAUGACGGUACCCAAAGAAUAAGCACCGGCUAACUUCGUGCCAGCAGCCGCAGUAA